This 29-nucleotide small RNA is filed under the name Bombyx mori (domestic silkworm). Its description in RNAcentral is "ovarian small RNA-11898". The record is from RNAcentral. Lineage: Eukaryota; Metazoa; Arthropoda; Insecta; Lepidoptera; Bombycidae.
AGACUGCUCAUCGAUGCCGUUAGCUAUGC